This 204-nucleotide long non-coding RNA is filed under the name Mytilus galloprovincialis (Mediterranean mussel). Lineage: Eukaryota; Metazoa; Mollusca; Bivalvia; Mytilida; Mytilidae. The record is from RNAcentral.
GGGGACUAAAAACAUUCGUACAUGACCGUGACCUUAUUCCUGGAGAAUUCACGUCAGAUUCGAAGGCAAUUUUAAUGCAUCAAAGUAGACACGUAAUGUUCAUUAUUACAGAACGUUUUGGUGAAUACAGCAUGUAAUUUAAUGGUUUCUGUUAGUUCAUGUUUGUUAUAUACCACAUCGCUUUAUUGUGAUAUAGGCGAUGUG